This 481-nucleotide ribosomal RNA is filed under the name uncultured bacterium. RNAcentral describes it as "partial 16S ribosomal RNA". It matches the Rfam family "Bacterial small subunit ribosomal RNA", at positions 28 to 507 of the family's 1533-position model. The record is from RNAcentral.
GAUGAACGCUGGCGGCGUGCUUAACACAUGCAAGUCGAACGAAGCACUUUAUUUGAUUUCCUUCGGGACUGAUCAUUUUGUGACUGAGUGGCGGACGGGUGAGUAACGCGUGGGUAACCUGCCUUGUACAGGGGGCUAACAGUUGGACACGGCUGCUAAUACCGCAUAAGCGCACAGCAUCGCAUGAUGCAGUGUGAAAAACUCCGGUGGGAUACGAUGGACCCGCGUUGGAUUAGCAAGUUGGUGAGGUAACGGCCCACCAAGGCGACGAUCCAUAGCCGACCUGAGAGGGUCACCGGCCACAUUGGGACUGAGAAACGGCCGGAACUCCUACGGGAGGCAGCAGUGGGGAAUAUUGCAAAAUGGGCGAAAGCAUGAUGCAGCGACGCCGCGUGAGCGAAGAAGUAUUUCGGUAUGUAAAGCUCUAGCAGCAGGGAAGAUAAUGACGGUACCUGACUAAGAAGCACCGGCUAAAUACGUG